Molecule: ribosomal RNA, 428 nt
Filed under: Salmonella enterica subsp. enterica serovar Javiana
Lineage: Bacteria; Pseudomonadati; Pseudomonadota; Gammaproteobacteria; Enterobacterales; Enterobacteriaceae
Description: partial 23S ribosomal RNA
Rfam family: Bacterial large subunit ribosomal RNA
Source: RNAcentral
GACUCGUCACACUAUCAUUAACUGAAUCCAUAGGUUAAUGAGGCGAACCGGGGGAACUGAAACAUCUAAGUACCCCGAGGAAAAGAAAUCAACCGAGAUUCCCCCAGUAGCGGCGAGCGAACGGGGAGGAGCCCAGAGCCUGAAUCAGCAUGUGUGUUAGUGGAAGCGUCUGGAAAGGCGCGCGAUACAGGGUGACAGCCCCGUACACAAAAGCGCAUGUGCUGUGAGCUCGAUGAGUAGGGCGGGACACGUGGUAUCCUGUCUGAAUAUGGGGGGACCAUCCUCCAAGGCUAAAUACUCCUGACUGACCGAUAGUGAACCAGUACCGUGAGGGAAAGGCGAAAAGAACCCCGGCGAGGGGAGUGAAAAAGAACCUGAAACCGUGUACGUACAAGCAGUGGGAGCACCCUUUGGGGUGUGACUGCGUA